RNAcentral lists this ribosomal RNA (3236 nucleotides) under Durio zibethinus. Its description in RNAcentral is "eukaryotic LSU rRNA". It matches the Rfam family "Eukaryotic large subunit ribosomal RNA". The record is from RNAcentral. Lineage: Eukaryota; Viridiplantae; Streptophyta; Magnoliopsida; Malvales; Malvaceae.
ACCCUAUGUCAAGUCGAAUUACUUACAGAGUUUAAGCAUAUCAAUAAGUUGAGGAAAAAAAACUUACCAAAAUUUCCUUAAGUAAUGGUGAGUGAACCGAAAAGAGCCCAGCUUGAGAAUCAAGUAACCCCAGCAUCCAAAUUAUAGUCUAGAGAAAUGUCCUCAGUGGUGAAUCGAGCCCAAGUCCCAUGGAAAGGGGCACCACAAGAGGUGAGAGCCCCAUUAUGACUAGACCCUAUUACACCAUAAGGCACUAUCUACAAGUCAAGUUCUUUGGGAAUAUAGCCCUAAUAGGGCAAUAAAUUUCAUGCAAGGCUGAAUACGGGUGAAAAACUAAUAGCGAACAAGUAUUGUAAGGAAAAGAUGAAAAGGGUUUUGAAAAUAGAGUCAAAAAGUGCAAGAAAUUAUCGAGAGGGAGGCAAAUGGUGGUGAGCGUUGCAUCCUAAUUAGAUGUGGAAUGAUUAAAGCCAAUUCGUUGAUCGGCUCAAGGAGAGGAUAGAAAUAAGUUGCAAUGGCAUCCCAAGCUUAAGCUUUUGAUAUGCCCAUGAGGAUGUCAUUGCUAUGAUCAUGGAAUAUAGCAUGCGUCAUCUCGAUGUGUCUUAACACUAAUGUGCUCUCAGUGUUAGCCUACGAGCUCUCCAUUCAACUUGUCUUAAAAUGUAGACCAAUCAAUUUAACAUGUGUGCAAGUCAUUAGGCUAGAAAACCUGCAAGGUAUAAAGAAGCUAAUUGGUAGGAUUCCUUGCAGAUGCACCAGGAACUAAGCUUGAUCUUUUGAGAAGGGUUUGAAUGUGAGCAUGCCUAUUGAGACCUGAAAGAUGGUGAACUAUUCAUGAAUGGGGCAAAACUAGAGGAAACUUUGGUGAAUGCCCAUAUCUAUACUAAAAUGUAAAUUGUUCAUCUGACUCAGAUAUAGGGGUUAAUGACUAAUCAAACCAUCUAGUAGCUAGUUCUUUUCAAAGUUUCCCUCAAGAUAGUUAGAGCCUUUUACGAGUUCUAUCAGGUAAAGCCAAUGAUUAGAGGCAUCAAGGGUGCAACACCCUUAACCAAUUCUCAAACUUUAAAUAGGUGGGAUAGCAUGACUACUUUGUUAACCUAUACCACAAAAUUGAGAGCUCUAAGUGGGCCAUUUUUGGUAAGCCAAAUUGGUAAUACGAGAUGAACUAGAAGCUGAGUUAUGGUGACCAACUGCAUGCUAACCUAGAACCUACAAAGGGUGUUGGUCAAUUACGAUAGUAGGACGAUGGUCAUGGAACUCACUUGCCAAAUCAAACUAGCCUAAAAAAUGGAUGGUGUUUAAAUGCAUGACCUAUACCCAAUCGUUGAGGCAAGGGCUAGACCCCAAUGAGUAAGAGGGCACGAUGGUCACUACAAAACCCAAGGUAUGAGCCCGGGCAAAGUGGCUGUCAGUGCAAAUUUUAGUGGUAAUGGUGAAUAUUUGAAUGAGAACUUUGAAGCUCGAAGAAGGGAAAGGUUCCAUGUGAAUGGCACUUGCACAUGGGUUACUCAAUCCUAAGAGACAAGGGAAGCCUCUUCAAUAGCAAGUCUAGCAUGAGCUUCAAAAGAGAAUCUGGUUACAAUUCUUGAACUAGGAUGUGAUGGCUAACGAUAACAUUAGAGAGUUUAAAGAUGUUAGUAGGGGUCUCAAAAAGAGUUAUCUUUCCUAUUUAAUGGCUUGCCCACCCUGGAAAAGACUAGCCAGAGGUAAGAUUUAGCGACUAAAAAAGUAGCACACAUUGCAUGGUUUCAGAUACACCCUUAAUGGCCUUGAAAAUUUCGAGGACCAAGUGCUAUCCGUGCCCAAUUGUACACAUAACUGCAUUAGAUCUCCAAGGUGAAUAGCCUCUACUCGAUGGAACAAUGUAUGUAAGAGAAGUCGACAAAAUAGAUCCAUAACCUUAGAAAAAUGAUUGGCUUUGAGGGUUGGGUAAGGGGGUCCUAGUCCUAAACCCAUCGAUUGUUGGUGUACUGCUCAAGCUACUUUUGUGGUGAGAAUAGGUCACCACAUGUUGGUUAAGGGAUGGACUGGGAACGGCUUCCUCCUCCCCCAAGCAACGAACAAUCGACUCAAAAUUGGUAAGGACAAGGUGAAUCUGAUUGUUUAAUUAAAACUAAGCAUUAUAAUGGUCCCUAUCAAUGCUCACGUAAUGUGAUUUUUGCCUAGUGCUCUAAAUGUUAAAGUGAAGAAAUUCAACCAAGUGUAGGUAAAUGGCAAGCAUAACUAUGACUCUCUUAAGGUAGCCAAAUGCCUUGUUAUCUAAUUAGUGACAUGCAUGAAUGAAUUAACGAGAUUCCCAUUAUCUCUAUCUAUUAUCCAGCGAAACCAUAGCCAAGGGAAAAGGCUUGCAAAAUAGUAGGGAAAGAAAACCUUAUUGAGAUUGACUCUAGUCUGAAUUUAUGAAAUGACUUGAGAGGUGUAAGAUAAGUGAAAACCCUCAAUCGAAAAUGAAAUACCACUACUUUUAACAUUAUUUUACUUAUUUUGUGAAUUAGAGGUAGGACCCUUUUUUUUGAACCCAAGGUCGACCUUGGUUGGUCGAUUUAGGUGAAAUACAUUGUCAGGUGAGGAGUUUGGUUAGGGUGACAUAUUUGUUAAAAGAUAAUACAGGUGUCCUAAAAUGAGCUCAACAAGAACAAAAAUCUCGUAUGGAACAAAAAGGUAAAAGCUCAUUUGAUUCUAGUACAAAUAUAAACUAUGAAAGUGUGGCCUAUCGAUCUUUUAGACCUUGAAAUUUAAAGCUAGUGGUAUAAGAAAAGUUACCUUAGGGAUAACUAGCUUAUGGCAACUAAGCAUUCAUAGCUAUGUUAUUUUUUUAUCCUUCAAUAUCAACUCUUCCUACAUUAAGAAGCAAAAUUCACCAAGUGUUUAGAUUGUUCACCCAUCAAUAAGGAACAUAAGAUAGUUUAGACAGUCAUAAGACAGGUUAGUUUUACCCUACUAUGACAGCAUUGUAAUAAUAAUUCAACCUAGUAUAAGAAGAACCAUUGAUUUGCACAAUUGGUCAUCGUGCUUGGUUGAAAAGCUAAUGACAUGAAACUACCAUGUGCAAAAUUAUGAUUGCAUGCCUCUAAGUCAAAAUCCAAGCUAAAAGUAAUACAAGCAUCUGUCACCUGAUUGUUGACCUAUAGUAUAGGCCUAUGGCCCUAAAGGGCACAUGUCAUAGGUGCAGCCUCUAUGGCAGAUAAACUACAUGGGCUCUUUGAAGCUCAAUUCCCACUAAAUGGCAAGUAGAAUCU